GCCAGGCAUCGUGGCACAUGCCUGUAAUCCCAGCGGCUCAGGAAGCUGAGACAGGAGGAUCUCGAGUUCAAAGCCAGCCUCAGCAAGUCGAGGCACUGAGCAACUCAGUGAGAACCUGUCUCUA
This 124-nucleotide small RNA is filed under the name Marmota monax (woodchuck). Lineage: Eukaryota; Metazoa; Chordata; Mammalia; Rodentia; Sciuridae. The record is from RNAcentral.